AUUGAACGCUGGCGGCAGGCCUAACACAUGCAAGUCGAACGAGUGGCGGACGGGGGAGUAAUGUCUGGGAAACUGCCUGAUGGAGGGGGAUAACAACUGCAAACGGUAGCUAAUACCGCAUACCAUCAGAUGUGCCCAGAUGGGGUUAGCUUGGUGGUGGGGUAUAGGCUCACCAAGGCGACGAUCCCUAGCUGGUCUGAGAGGAUGACCAGCCACACUGGAACUAAGACACGGUCAAGACGCCUACGUGAGGCAGCAGUGGGGAAUAUUGCACAAAGGGCGCAAGCCUGAUGCAGCCAUGCCGCGUGUAUGGAGAAGGCCUUCGGGUUGUAAAGUACUUUCAGCAGGGAGGCGUUACCCGCAGAAGACGCACCGGCUAACUCCGUGCCAGCAGCCGCGGUAAUUC
RNAcentral lists this ribosomal RNA (406 nucleotides) under uncultured bacterium. RNAcentral's name for it is "partial 16S ribosomal RNA". It matches the Rfam family "Bacterial small subunit ribosomal RNA", at positions 30 to 526 of the family's 1533-position model. The record is from RNAcentral.